This is a long non-coding RNA of Rosa chinensis, 299 nucleotides long. RefSeq lists it as uncharacterized. NCBI's taxonomy places the organism in Eukaryota, Viridiplantae, Streptophyta, Magnoliopsida, Rosales, Rosaceae. The transcript is spliced from 3 exons. The record is from RefSeq and is a predicted model, not a curated record.
UAUGCCAGGCACUUCCUAGAAAGGAAAUUAUUGAAGUUCUGGAUAUACUGCCUAGGUGGUUUGUUUUACAAUUUUGUAAAUCGAACACAACAUCUCUGUUAAAGGUGCUGGAAUUUCUUUAUGACCUUUUUGACAUGUUUAGGGACGAGGGAUACAUGUAUAGAUGCUGGAAUUUUAUUAUCUUGUUGUGAACUUUGUGCUACUGGUGUCCCAGAAGUGUAAGCAUUUCUACACAUAAAAAGAUAUGAUGCAAUAUGUAGAAUAUGCUCAGAAAAACCAGCUUUCGAUCUACUCACCAG